This 445-nucleotide ribosomal RNA is filed under the name uncultured Alphaproteobacteria bacterium. RNAcentral describes it as "bacterial SSU rRNA". It matches the Rfam family "Bacterial small subunit ribosomal RNA", at positions 29 to 509 of the family's 1533-position model. The record is from RNAcentral. Lineage: Bacteria; Pseudomonadati; Pseudomonadota; Alphaproteobacteria.
ACGAACGCUGGCGGCAUGCCUAACACAUGCAAGUCGAACGAAACCAAGGCUUCGGCCUGAAGUUUAGUGGCGCACGGGUGCGUAACGCGUGGGAAUCUGCCCUUGGGUUCGGAAUAACAGUUAGAAAUGACUGCUAAUACCGGAUGAUGACGUAAGUCCAAAGAUUUAUCGCCCAGGGAUGAGCCCGCGUAAGAUUAGCUAGUUGGUGGGGUAAAGGCCUACCAAGGCUACGAUCUUUAGCUGGUCUGAGAGGAUGAUCAGCCACACUGGGACUGAGACACGGCCCAGACUCCUACGGGAGGCAGCAGUGGGGAAUAUUGGACAAUGGGCGAAAGCCUGAUCCAGCAAUGCCGCGUGAGUGAUGAAGGCCUUAGGGUUGUAAAGCUCUUUUACCAGGGAUGAUAAUGACAGUACCUGGAGAAUAAGCUCCGGCUAACUCCGUGCC